Molecule: RNA transcript, 1242 nt
Organism: Spodoptera frugiperda (fall armyworm)
Lineage: Eukaryota; Metazoa; Arthropoda; Insecta; Lepidoptera; Noctuidae
Exons: 8
Source: RefSeq, a predicted model, not a curated record
CCUCGCUGUUGAGAUGGAAGUGGAUCACGGCCAGGUUCAAUAUAUUCUCUAUAUACCCCAGGCACAAUAUAUUCUCUAUAUACCCCAGGCACAAUAUAUUCUCUAAUAAAAAUACAAUUUACCUUCAACCUCGCUGUUGAGGUGGAAGUGGCUCAGGUCCGGGAUGUCGAGGAUCACGUCCAGGUUCAAUAUAUUCUCUAUAUACCCCAGGCACAAUAUAUUCUCUAUAUACCCCAGGCACAAUAUAUUCUCUAAUAAAAAUACAAUUUACCUUCAACCUCGCUGUUGAGGUGGAAGUGGCUCAGGUCCGGGAUGUCCAGGAUCACGUCCAGGUUCAAUAUAUUCUCUAUAUACCCCAGGCACAAUAUAUUCUCUAUAUACCCCAGGCACAAUAUAUUCUCUAAUAAAUACAAUUUACCUUCAACCUCGCUGUUGAGGUGGAAGUGGCUCAGGUCCGGGAUGUCCAGGAUCACGUCCAGGUUCAAUAUAUUCUCUAUAUACCCCAGGCACAAUAUAUUCUCUAAUAAAAACAAUUUACCUUCAACCUCGCUGUUGAGGUGGAAGUGGCUCAGGUCCGGGAUGUCCAGGAUCACGUCCAGGUUCAAUAUAUUCUCUAUAUACCCCAGGCACAAUAUAUUCUCUAUAUACCCCAGGCACAAUAUAUUCUCUAAUAAAGAUACAAUUUACCUUCAACCUCGCUGUUGAGGUGGAAGUGGCUCAGGUCCGGGAUGUCCAGGAUCACGUCCAGGUUCAAUAUAUUCUCUAUAUACCCCAGGCACAAUAUAUUCUCUAUAUACCCCAGGCACAAUAUAUUCUCUAUAUACCCCAGGCACAAUAUAUUCUCUAAUAAAAACAAUUUACCUUCAACCUCGCUGUUGAGGUGGAAGUGGCUCAGGUCCGGGAUGUCGAGGAUCACGUCCAGGUUCAAUAUAUUCUCUAUAUACCCCAGGCACAAUAUAUUCUCUAUAUACCCCAGGCACAAUAUAUUCUCUAAUAAAUACAAUUUACCUUCAACCUCGCUGUUGAGGUGGAAGUGGCUCAGGUCCGGGAUGUCCAGGAUCACGUCCAGGUUCAAUAUAUUCUCUAUAUACCCCAGGCACAAUAUAUUCUCUAAUAAAUACAAUUUACCUUCAACCUCGCUGUUGAGGUGGAAGUGGCUCAGGUCCGGGAUGUCCAGGAUCACGUCCAGGUUCAAUAUAUUCUCUAUAUACCCCAGGCACAAUAUAUUCUCUAAUAAAAAUA